This 473-nucleotide ribosomal RNA is filed under the name uncultured Glomus. Its description in RNAcentral is "SSU rRNA". It matches the Rfam family "Eukaryotic small subunit ribosomal RNA", at positions 569 to 1047 of the family's 1831-position model. The record is from RNAcentral. Lineage: Eukaryota; Fungi; Glomeromycota; Glomeromycetes; Glomerales; Glomeraceae.
AGCAGCCGCGGUAAUUCCAGCUCCAAUAGCGUAUAUUAAAGUUGUUGCAGUUAAAAAGCUCGUAGUUGAAUUUCGAGACCGGUUUACUGGUCGUGCUUUUGUACGUACUGGUAUUAUUGGUUUCUCCUUUCUGACGAAUCAUAAUGCCAUUAAUUUGGUGUUUUGGGGAAUCAGGACUGUUACUUUGAAAAAAUUAGAGUGUUUAAAGCAGGCUCACGCUUGAAUACAUUAGCAUGGAAUAACGAAAUAGGACGUUUGAUUUUAUUUUGUUGGUUUCUAGGAUCGACGUAAUGAUUAAUAGGGAUAGUUGGGGGCAUUAGUAUUCAAUUGUCAGAGGUGAAAUUCUUGGAUUUAUUGAAGACUAACUACUGCGAAAGCAUUUGCCAAGGAUGUUUUCAUUAAUCAAGAACGAAAGUUAGGGGAUCGAAGACGAUCAGAUACCGUCGUAGUCUUAACCAUAAACUAUGCCGACU